UACGAAGGGGGCUAGCGUUGCUCGGAAUCACUGGGCGUAAAGCGCACGUAGGCGGCUUCUUAAGUCAGGGGUGAAAUCCUGGAGCUCAACUCCAGAACUGCCUUUGGUACUGAGGAGCUUGAGUCCGGGAGAGGUGAGUGGAACUGCGAGUGUAGAGGUGAAAUUCGUAGAUAUUCGCAAGAACACCAGUGGCGAAGGCGGCUCACUGGCCCGGUACUGACGCUGAGGUGCGAAAGCGUGGGGAGCAAACAGG
RNAcentral lists this ribosomal RNA (253 nucleotides) under uncultured bacterium. RNAcentral describes it as "partial 16S ribosomal RNA". It matches the Rfam family "Bacterial small subunit ribosomal RNA", at positions 524 to 776 of the family's 1533-position model. The record is from RNAcentral.